Long non-coding RNA from Gigantopelta aegis, 518 nucleotides. RefSeq lists it as uncharacterized. The record is from RefSeq and is a predicted model, not a curated record. The transcript is spliced from 2 exons. NCBI's taxonomy places the organism in Eukaryota, Metazoa, Mollusca, Gastropoda, Neomphalida, Peltospiridae.
UGAAGAAUGAUGCAAUAAAAUGUUUAAUAUGUUAACGGGUUUAGGAUUAAUUGACAAUAUUAACACGGUUUCUAUUUUACGCGCAUGGAUAAAAUAACUACGCGAAAAGCCGCGUGCAUUGGCUGUGACGUAGCACGUGAACAGCCAGCCAGUAAACAAUAUGUGAAACCAUGUGCUUUUUGAUAGAUUUGUUUACAUUAGCGCUUUGAUCAAUGGCUUACCAAUCGUUUAUGUUUGAGCCCGAACGUUCCGAACAUGAUAGUGAGUCGGACUUCGACAUAGGAUUAUCUUCAGGCGAUGAAUUGGAAGAAAAUGUCGAAAAUAUUGCGCGAUUGGGAAACCGAGAUUGGUGUUUGUGUGGCAACUGCAGACCAAUGGACACGGCUGUGGCGAGAUCGUCAGGAUUUUCUCAGUGUAGCAUUUUUAUGUUGGUGAAGUUGUCACACGUUACUACGCAACUAUUUGUCAUAAGUGCACACUUUGAUGUUCAAUUUGGUAUAAUAAAUAUAUGAACAAGA